Molecule: long non-coding RNA, 650 nt
Organism: Lathyrus oleraceus (garden pea)
Lineage: Eukaryota; Viridiplantae; Streptophyta; Magnoliopsida; Fabales; Fabaceae
Exons: 4
Source: RefSeq, a predicted model, not a curated record
ACGAAAUGCGAAGAACUCAAUGUCGGUGACGCACCAGGUUCAUGCGUCCGUCCAUGCUCAGUAAGCGAAUCUCAAAAUCCAGCUCAGGAAUUCUACCAUAACUAAUCAAAGUUCAAUACAUCUUCGUGCUUGCACAAAAUCAAAGAAGGCGAGAUCGAUAUGAAAUUAUUGAAUUUACCAAUUCAAAGUUUCAGGUCGUUGGAAAAUGGUUGAGAAAAGAUGAAGAUGAAUUCAGUUAGGUUGGUUCUAUUGAGAGGGUGAUUGGAUUGAGAUAAGUGAGGGUUGGCCUCUUUGGUCACCUCUGUGAGUUAUGAUAAAAAGUGUUUUCAUUUCCCAGUUGGAGUUUGUUGAGGCGGUUAGAGGUUGAAGAGGUUGUUACAGUUUUUUUGAAUUCUGUUAGGGGAUUGGAGAGAUUUGAGAGGAGGUUCUAUUAGUUAGUUACAUUGCAGGGUAGCUUGGAAUGAUCGAUGGACAGGGUCGUGGGAUUCAGAUUUAAUGGCUGCCUUGGGAUUGCUUUGGGAUUAAGUUUGGAACGACAUAUGGUUCUUUUACCAUGGAAUGGACUUGGAAUUUGUUGGAAUUGGAUUUUCAUAAGGGAGAUUGAUUGAAGAAUGGAUGAAAUUGUGUGUACAGUGUGUAGGAGAAGAGCG